GCACUGCUGAGGAGUCCCACAAUAGGACGAAACAGCUGUCCAAUGC
This 46-nucleotide non-coding RNA is filed under the name Schistosoma mattheei. The record is from RNAcentral. Lineage: Eukaryota; Metazoa; Platyhelminthes; Trematoda; Strigeidida; Schistosomatidae.